GACGAACGCUGGCGGCGUGCUUAACACAUGCAAGUCGAACGAUGAAGAAGAGAAACGCGAACACCGGUUCCAAUUUCACUUCGGAUUCGUGGCAGACGGGUGAGUAACGCGUGAGAAACCUACCUCUUACAAAAGGAUAGCCCCGGGAAACCGUGAUUAAUACCAUAUGACACAUUCAUAAGGCUUCUUAAGACUGUUAAAGCUACGGCGGUAAGAGAUGGGCUCGCGUCCCAUUUGCAAGUUGGUGAGGUAACGGCCCACCAAGGCGACGAUGGGUAACCGGCCUGAGAGGGUGAACGGUCACAUUGGAACUGAGACGCGGUCCAAACUCCUACGGGAGGCAGCAGUGGGGAAUAUAGCACAAUGGAGGGAAGUCUGAUGCAGCGACGCCGCGUGAGCGAUGAAGGAAGUCGUUUCGUAAAGCUCUGUUCUAUGGGAAGAAAAUGACGGUACCAUAGGAGAAAGCCCCGGCUAAAUACGUG
Molecule: ribosomal RNA, 482 nt
Filed under: uncultured bacterium
Lineage: Bacteria
Description: partial 16S ribosomal RNA
Rfam family: Bacterial small subunit ribosomal RNA
Source: RNAcentral